GACAGGCUGGCAGAACUCUCUCACAAAGUCCUCCUCCGAGGCCAGCAGCACCGCGUUCCAGGCAGCAAUGUCCAGCUCGCCAGCCGUGCCCCCGUACUCCUUGGGGAGAAUACUUUUUGGAAGGGCCAGACCACAUGAUUCUGUGGACCUUACACGGCCUGUGACCAGACGUUUUCCACCCCUGCCCUAGCAUAUCAUCUUACAGGAAACAAUAAUCUAACUCAUUAUGCUGACCCUUACAUCUACAUGGGAUUUAGCAGGAGGCAUCAGAAGAGUGGAAGCCAAGGAAAGCCAGAGCGCUGCCUCAAAGCCAGAAUGCAAACUUCUGAUAAUGACCAACUGUGACGUGGAUGUUUACAUACCAGCCUGGGGCACAGUAGGGCCUCAGACACAUGGAGAACUGUUCUGUCUCUGGUCCCCGCAGCUCAAAAGAGCCAGCACCCACGGGCUGGGUCAGAAUGAGCUAGGAGUCAAGCCGGAGAGACUUGGGCCACACUGUAUCUGCUAGGUCUGUUUCCCCGCCGACCGAAAAAGAAAAGUAAUUCUUGACUUGUCUAUCUAAAAGGAUUCCUUGAAGCACUGAGUGGGUUAUGAUGACCGUAAAAGGGCUUUGCAAACCAUUACACCCUGUGAAGAUAUAUAAGGAACCCGACGGUUCUCAGUGACUUGUGUUCUGAGACACAACUUGAGGGGUGAAAGCAUCGGGCCAAACAGUCCAACAGUGCUCCCCAUCCCCGGGUCCCACAGGCGGCCGGGCAGAAACACAAUUUCUCAGUUUCAUUUGUUAGGAGAAUUUCUCCUCUGUCUUCUUGACCCCCCAAAAAAGAGCAGAAAACAUUUCUCUGGUUUUUGGAGUCUUGUCCGAAAGCUGAUCUUGCCUAGAUUAAAGGUACCUCAGAAACUACUGGAGACCCUCAGGGGAAUGAGUGGUAAAUAGAACUUUCAAUGCUUUCGUAUUUUUCUGAUUGUAGGAGCCGGAAGUGGGGUGUGCAUAUCACAUGGGUAACUGGACAGGGCCCUGGGAAAGCCAAAACAACAGAAAGGCACACGACAAAUGGGGGCCAUACCUGAAGGAUGCCAAUCACCUUUUUGGCUAUAAAAGGGCCAAAG
Molecule: long non-coding RNA, 1110 nt
Organism: Myotis lucifugus (little brown bat)
Lineage: Eukaryota; Metazoa; Chordata; Mammalia; Chiroptera; Vespertilionidae
Exons: 3
Source: RefSeq, a predicted model, not a curated record